Molecule: long non-coding RNA, 1425 nt
Filed under: Felis catus (domestic cat)
Lineage: Eukaryota; Metazoa; Chordata; Mammalia; Carnivora; Felidae
Description: lncRNA (ENSFCAG00000052427.1)
Source: RNAcentral
UCUCUCUGCCCCUCCCCUGCUUGCGCUCUCUGUCUCUCAAAAAUAAAUAAAUGUUAAAAAAAAAAUUUUUUUUUUUAGAAAGAAGAAGAGUACAGGAAAUGAGCCUUCCAAGGAGAGCUCCAAAUCCCCACUUGCGUAAAGUCGCUGUUCCCUCGCUCUGCCAAGCAGUGAGGCUUCGUUGGAGCAGGGCUAGGGAUUCAGCAAGACAGCAGCAUAGACUUGGACGGCUGCCACCGUGGCUCUGCCCUCAGAGACUUCCAAAAAAGCUUCCCACUCUGUUACUUGCCUUGGUGGCCACUAAUGUUCCUGCUGCAGGCCCUGGGCACCCGGGCUCCAGCGACAUGAGCUGUAAAAUCCCAAGGAAAACUGGAGCAUCCAAAUGCUCAGAGACGCCUUGGUCAUGUGGUGAGGAUCGUGGCCACUAGAAGCCCCAAUUUAGAAAUCCCGGUAGAAAAAAGAGCUUCCUUUCUCCAUGUCUGAAAAACAAUCCCAGGAAAGGAUGCCGGCUUCACUUGGGUCAUAUGCCUCAGAGUGGCAGGAUGUUUUCUUUUUAAGUCCAAUACGUAAGUAGCUGGUCACCGGUCUCAGUAGGUCACAAGUAGUAACUUAUUUAAUCCCUGUCUUUUAAAAAAGCCUAUAAGUUAGUCCAGUUACUAUCUUCAUUGCAAAUGAACAAACAUGUAAGUGGCCUUCACAAGGUCACAGAGCUAUUGCUUGGUAGAACUGGAAUUUUGGAGCCAGACUGCUGGGGCCCGAGUCUGUAUUUGUGCCCCCGUGUUACAGUUGUACCCUCAUGCUAUGGUUGUGUGGGAUUGCAUGGCGUAACUCUAGGGGAGCAAACCCUGGACCUAAACAGCGUGACCUCGUAGGCAACACGGGGGGAAGGGACUAACACUGUUGUCAGAGUGGACAGGAGACUAAUGGUGGCUCAUAUUUGGUAGCUGUGGGGGGCGGGGGUAGGUACUGUGACUGACAGCCCCACCUGUCCCACAUUUACUGGGGGAGGAGUAGUUCCCCAGAGAAAGAAGCCCAGGCACACAGUGAUCACGUAUGACCAUCUCAGGAGCAUCUAGGGGCAGUCAUGGCUUCAGUAUCUGCCUAUCUUCCUGCUCCCUAAAGAUGUCUAGAUAUGAAAUGGUCUCUGGGAAUGAUAUACUGGUCCAGGGUUGAGGGGAGGGGAGGGGAGGAGAGGAGAGAGGAGAGGAGAGGAGAGGAGAGGAGGAGAGGAGAGGAGGAGAGGAGAGGAGAGGAGAGGAGAGGAGAGGAGAGAGGAGAGGAGAGGAGAGGAGAGGAGAGGAGAGGAAGGAGAGGAGAGGAGGAGGAGAGGAGAGAGGAGAGGAAGGAGAGGAGAGGAGAGGAAGAGGAGAGGAGAGAGAGGAGAGGAGAGGAGGAGAGGAGAGGAGAGGAGAGGAAGAGGAGAGGAGA